AACGAACGCUGGCGGCAUGCCUAACACAUGCAAGUCGAACGAGACCUUCGGGUCUAGUGGCGCACGGGCGCGUAACGCGUGGGAACCUGCCCUUAGGUUCGGAAUAACUCCCCGAAAGGGGUGCUAAUACCGGAUAAUGUCUUCGGACCAAAGAUUUAUCGCCUUUGGAUGGGCCCGCGUUGGAUUAGCUAGUUGGUAGGGUAAAAGCCUACCAAGGCGACGAUCCAUAGCUGGUCUGAGAGGAUGAUCAGCCACACUGGGACUGAGACACGGCUCAGACUCCUACGGGAGGCAGCAGUGGGGAAUAUUGGACAAUGGGCGAAAGCCUGAUCCAGCAAUGCCGCGUGAGUGAUGAAGGCCUUAGGGUUGUAAAGCUCUUUUACCCGGGAUGAUAAUGACAGUACCGGGAGAAUAAGCUCCGGCUAACUCCGUG
This 433-nucleotide ribosomal RNA is filed under the name uncultured bacterium. RNAcentral's name for it is "partial 16S ribosomal RNA". It matches the Rfam family "Bacterial small subunit ribosomal RNA", at positions 29 to 507 of the family's 1533-position model. The record is from RNAcentral.